UAGGGAAUCUUCGGCAAUGGGGGGAACCCUGACCGAGCAACGCCGCGUGCGUGAAGAAGGUUUUCGGAUCGUAAAGCUCUGUUGUUAAGGAAGAACGAGUGUGAGAAUGGAAAGUUCAUGCUGUGACGGUACUUAACCAGAAAGGGACGGCUAACUACGUGCCAGCAGCCGCGGUAAUACGUAGGUCCCGAGCGUUGUCCGGAUUUAUUGGGCGUAAAGCGAGCGCAGGCGGUUAGAAAAGUCUGAAGUGAAAGGCAGUGGCUCAACCAUUGUAGGCUUUGGAAACUGUUUAACUUGAGUGCAGGAGGGGAGAGUGGAAUUCCAUGUGUAACGGUGAAAUGCGUAGAUAUAUGGAGGAACACCGGUGGCGAAAGCGGCUCUCUGGUCUGUAACUGACGCUGAGGCUCGAAAGCGUGGGGAGCGAACAGG
This 429-nucleotide ribosomal RNA is filed under the name Bacteroidota bacterium. RNAcentral describes it as "Bacteroidetes bacterium partial 16S ribosomal RNA". It matches the Rfam family "Bacterial small subunit ribosomal RNA", at positions 355 to 776 of the family's 1533-position model. The record is from RNAcentral. Lineage: Bacteria; Pseudomonadati; Bacteroidota.